This 484-nucleotide ribosomal RNA is filed under the name uncultured bacterium. RNAcentral describes it as "partial 16S ribosomal RNA". It matches the Rfam family "Bacterial small subunit ribosomal RNA", at positions 30 to 507 of the family's 1533-position model. The record is from RNAcentral.
AUUGAACGCUGGCGGCAGGCCCAACACAUGCAAGUCGAGCGGAUGAAGGGGGCUUGCUCCUGGAUUCAGCUGCGGACUGGUGAGUAAUUCCUAGGUAUCUGCCUGGCAGUGUGUUAUAACGUCCUGAAACGGGCGCUAAUACGUCAUACGCCCUGAGGGACUAAGUGGGGGAUCUUCGGACCUUACGCUAUCAGACGAUUCUAUGUCGGAUUAGCUAGUUGGUGGGGUAAAGGCCUACCAAGGCGACGAUCCGUAACUGGUCUGAGAGGAUGAUCAGUCACACUGGAACUGAGACACGGUCCAGACUCCUACGGGAGGCAGCAGUGGGGAAUAUUGGACAAUGGGCGAAAGCCUGAUCCAGCCAUGCCGCGUGUGUGAAGAAGGUCUUCGGAUUGUAAAGCACUUUAAGUUGGGAAGAAGGGCAGUAAGUUAAUACCUUGCUGUUUUGACGUUACCAAAAGAAUAAGCACCGGCUAACUUCGUG